This 355-nucleotide RNase P RNA is filed under the name uncultured Treponema sp. Its description in RNAcentral is "Bacterial RNase P class A". It matches the Rfam family "Bacterial RNase P class A", at positions 26 to 354 of the family's 367-position model. From Rfam's summary of the family: Ribonuclease P (RNase P) is a ubiquitous endoribonuclease, found in archaea, bacteria and eukarya as well as chloroplasts and mitochondria. Its best characterised activity is the generation of mature 5'-ends of tRNAs by cleaving the 5'-leader elements of precursor-tRNAs. Lineage: Bacteria; Pseudomonadati; Spirochaetota; Spirochaetia; Treponematales; Treponemataceae. The record is from RNAcentral.
GUAAGAUGAUUUAUAUGCCUGGGGAGGUAAAGUCCGGGCUCCACCGGAAAAGAUGCCGGAUAAUAACCGGGCAGAACAGGGCAGUUGUCAUUUUUGUGGCAUAACCCCUGAACUGACAGAAAGUGCUGCAGAAAAUAACCGCCUGGAAACAGGUAAGGGUGAAAAGGCAGGGUAAGAGCCUACCGCGGGUCUGGCAACAGAAACGGCAUAAGCAAACCUCAUCUGGAGCAAAAUCAUAUAGCAGUUUGGUUUCCGGCCUUAUUACUGCGGGUAGAUUGCUGGAAGUGUCAGGUAACUGGCACUGUGGAUAGAUGGUCACACUGCAUUAUUGCAGACCAGAACCCGGCUUACUGUA